This 26-nucleotide non-coding RNA is filed under the name Cricetulus griseus (Chinese hamster). The record is from RNAcentral. Lineage: Eukaryota; Metazoa; Chordata; Mammalia; Rodentia; Cricetidae.
CCUGCCUGCUACUCUGUUCUAUCCAG